This 253-nucleotide ribosomal RNA is filed under the name uncultured bacterium. Its description in RNAcentral is "partial 16S ribosomal RNA". It matches the Rfam family "Bacterial small subunit ribosomal RNA", at positions 524 to 776 of the family's 1533-position model. The record is from RNAcentral.
UACGGAGGAUGCAAGCGUUAUCCGGAAUCAUUGGGCGUAAAGCGUCCGUAGGUGGCAAUCCAAGUUUGCAUUUAAAGCGUGGGGCUCAACCCCAUAAAGGGUGUGAAAACUGGGUAGCUAGAGUGCGGUAGGGGUCAGGGGAAUUCCUAGUGUAGCGGUGAAAUGCGUAGAUAUUAGGAAGAACACCGGUGGCGAAAGCGCCUGACUGGACCUGCACUGACACUGAGGGACGAAAGCUAGGGGAGCGAAAGGG